UUCCAAAUCCCUGAGCCUGGGCAGUGCAAAAAACACAGCCAAAUUUAGGUAACAGCUUAUUUUCCACCUCUGUGCCCAUGAAGCAGAAUAUAUGAUCUGUGACUAAAGAGUGUUGUCUCUUAUUUGGUGGUAAAUCUUCAACUCUGUUGAGAAUCAGGGUCAGCUUCUCAAAAGAGCCUUUUCCCCAUCUAGGCUUUCUGAAUCUGACUAACACUGUUUUAGGGAAUUGUCUUCUGUCUGACCUUGAAUAGCAUGCUUUCCCUCUUGCCUUUUGGGUGGGGGGCUGGGGGGGAGAUUAUUUUGGACCCUGAAAUCCCUCCCCGGCAGACCUGAUUGCAUUAGCAGGCUCCUUUUAUGGCUCUCCAAAGGGCUUCAGCCCCAGUGACCUGUCCUCUGUCCCCUCACCUGCUUACAUGCUGAUUCAUUGAUGAGCUGGCAUCGCAGGCCCCGCCUCCCUCUGAAUGGUCUGUGAGGUUGCGGUCGCUCCUGGAGAGGGGGUGCUGAGCUGAGCCACAGUGGGUUACUACAAGUGUGAACCAGCAGCCUAUCGGUUGCCACAGAAGGACUUGGUGACCACACAGAGAAGCAGCCCUUUCUUACCACCCUGUGCCUCUUCUCUCUGUAUCUGAAAACGGUGUAAACGUGAAAUAUUGAAAUUUGCCCAGUACCUCCUCAGACUGUUAACAGGUUCUCUUCAUACAGGUAAUGACUAUUUUUUUUAAUAGAGGCUGGUGGAGCGUGGUGCCAAAGUUGAAAUGGAAUAGGGAAGGCUCACUAUUUCUGUGUUGUGUUUAUUUUUCAUGUUGUCAAUAAAAUACAGUUGUGAGUGUUUGCUGAGAUUCACGUUUCUAAAAAUGUGUGCAGUGCAGCUCUAAUUUGGGGAUAGAACUGGAUUCUGGGGAUGUAUCUUUUAUGUCUUUUUGGCAGUGUUGCUGUUGAAUGUGCCUCAGUCUAAGGAAGCAGUAUCUGCAGAGUAGAAAGAUUUUUUUUUUAAAUGCAUGGUCGUGUGAGGGGUUUUUUCCUCUCUCCUGCCUGCUGCAGUUUGCUGGAAAAUCACAAAGCUCUUCUUCCUGCAGGUAUUUAGAAAUUCUCUAGAACUCUUUGAUCAUUAUAAUCCAUAGAUUAUUGCUAGUAUUUGAUUAUAGAGCUUAGCAGUGAAAGAGUUAAGGCCAUUUCUUUUGGAUUUCUGAAUUCCUUGCAAAAUGUGAGCACAAUGUGAAAAACAGCUAAAGAGUAUAAUGUCCAUGAGAGCUUUGAUAUUUGUUUCGUUGCAGUAGAUUUCAAUGUUUAACAUGUUGCAUGAUGGAAAUAGAAACUCUAUUUAAAUCUAAGUGUUGAUAGAAAAUAUUUUUAAGAUGUUCCAUAAUUAUGAACUUAAAUAGCACUUUUGCUGCCCACGGAAUUCCAAGGCAAUGCCAUCGUGAAGAUAGUGACAAGUGAGACCAAAACUGCUUUGACUCUGAUAAUAGAUAUUUUUAAUGGAUCUGCAAACUCCUGAGGAGUAAAGCUUGGUUGAUAUAAUAUCAUACUAUGAUUCUGGCCAUGAGCAAUUAUUGUUAGCUUUAUUUUUUCAACUUAUAUGUGUCUUCUUUAAUCUAAAUCAUGAAAAAGAAGAGUUGCUAAAGAAACCUAGACAUUGUGAUGCAAGGUUGAGAGAUGAAUUUGAGCAACAUUUUCCCUGGGAAAUUAACUCUGUAUGAUGAAUAGCAGAACUGAAAACACAGUUAUUAACAACCUGAUCCGGAAAAACAGUUUUGAGGGAGUAACUGUGAAAAUCAAAAGAUUUCUGAGAGCAUUAUUAAGUAUUAAUAAGUACAUUAAUAGGAUGCUUAUCAGAUGCUUAUCUUUUAGCACUGUAAAUUGCGGUGGCUUUUAAUGCUUUUCAGAAUAAUCAUUGAGAGUAGGUACCCAACUUUGGUUAACUUUGUAGCUCUUUUGUAUUUUUCACCAAGUAUUUAUACUUCUAUACUUCGUCCCAGUGUGACUUUGCUGUAGCAUGUCAAUUGUGAUUAAUUAUAUCAAUAUGAUAUUUGCUUUAAACCCUCAAUAAGGAUGGUGUGCCACUUAUGAAGCUAUAUCUUACUAGACAAUGCUCAAUAGGUUAUCUUUCAUCUUGCUAUAAAAUUAGAGAAAUAUUUUAUAAAAUAAAGCUUUCCAUGAGGUUUCCAUGGUAGUGUAAUUUCCUCUUUGAUAAGGCAGUUUUAAGGUCCUACCUGUUUCUUACUGGAUUUGGGUGCAUUGUUCUACCUUUUUUUUGCAUGACCUGUUUUUGUGUAGUUUUCUGAAACUUCUGAUUUCAAAGAAUUUUAUGAAGAUGGUAAAGUGUUAUGACGUCAUAAACCAUAAGCAUUGAAUCCCAAAUGUUGUGGUUGUCUAAUGACUGUAUGGUAAUGUAUAACAUGAAAUUUAUGGAAAACUAGUAUAGCAGAAAUAUUUUAAGCCUCAUUUAAUGCAUAUUUAGAAAUCAAUAUAGGUAGGAUUUCUUCUCUUCUUUCUGAGCCACAAGGAGAAAAAAAAGAACUUUGAGAAAUAGGGCAGAAUAUUAUAAGGUAGUAAGAUAGAUUUAUAACCUGGGAAGUAUGAUUAAAGCAACUUGUUUCUUGCAAAAUUCUUUUCUGCUCAGUUUCUAAUAUUCAGUGUUGUAAAAUCCAGCCAGAAUCUUUACAACUGCUCAAAAUGCAACUUAAAAAAGACAAUUUCUGCAUUUAUUAGAUGCUGUGAUAAUAUACACUGUUCAUAUUGCAGAAUCUAAUGUAAAAUUCAUUAGAGCACUUUCAAGUCCCUUAGCUAGUAAUUAAUGAAGAAGUAGGAAGCAGGGUUGAAUUAGUUUUAAAAAUUUGCUUUAAGGUUGGAUAUGCAAUCAGUUGCUAAUUGUAUCCUGAACAAUCAGCAUAUGUCUUUGUAGUUAUCAAAAAUUUAAAACAAUAUGAAUAUUCCUUGGAUGACUCUUUGCUUUUAUUUCUUAUUUUACCCACAACCCCUUUAUCUUCACUUUUUCAAUUAAAGAUGUGAUCUAAAGAAAUAGUGACUUUGUUUUACAUUUGAAAACAGGUUAUUUCUGAAAUACGUAACCUGUAUUGUUGGCACUUUCCUUCCAUUUGAUAUCAAAAUGCCCCUGUCUUUACACAAACAGAAAAUUUGAAGUGCAAAGAAAUUUUCAUGGGCACACACUCUCCUUUGAUAUGUCUUAUUAGUGUUAUCACACGUCAGAGGAAAGCAGUUUCCUUUUCAGAGAGCUUUUCAUAUGCUUUGGCAAUGCCAAAGAUUGCUUAUAAAUAAAUAAUUUAAAAGUAGUGAUUUUUUUUCUAAAAUAAGCUUCAUAUUAGAGAGUGCAAAUUCAGUAGUAGAUUUGUCCAGAUAAAAUAAGAUGCUUUUACUUUACCAUAAGCUUUUUCCAUAUUUCUAUCAUGGCAAAUCAUUUUCCAAAGACUGGAUUAUACAAACACCUAUAUUGGCCUUAUUUAUCAUGAACGUAUAAGCAUUUUUAAAGAUUCUUUUGAAUACAAUAAAUCUCAGAAAUCCGUAUGCAAAUGUGAAAAGUUAAUGGCUACUGUGUUCAAUGUAGUGAGGUGUCCUAUAGGAUCAGUUAUCCUAAUUCCUUCUCAAAUUGAGACCUGCCUCUCCUUGUACCAUAUUAUAUUCAAAUCCAGAUGGGGUUCAGGUGUAUAUUUCUGUACAUCUAAAGAAAUGAUGACUUAGGAGAAUUCUAAUAUGACAUCAGUAAUAAGAGACUUAUUCUAUGGAUUGGCCAUUUGUGUACCAUAGGAACCCACAGAACACCCUGUCAGAUAAAUGCUGACCCAUUUAAAAGGGUGGGUAAUAGUAUAGAUAAUAAGUUUUAAACUUUCUUCUGCAUGUGAGAUUUAGUAUUGAAAUGCUUUAUGUAUUUGGGGGGGGAGGUUGUUUGGACAUGUAUCAACUUUCUGCUUCUAGUUUUCUUGAAAAAUCAAGACCUGAACACAUUUUCCUAUUAGCAGGUAUUCCAAAAACCUAUGUCUGAGGUGGCUAUUGCCUGGAGCUUUGUUUCAGGCUUAAGAGUCUGAAAACUACAGGGGCUGCGGAAGUUCACCUCUCCAUCUGAAGGAAACAAAAGCAAUUCAAAGCAAAGCACUCUGUUAAGCUUUCAAUGGCUGUUGAAUUAGUGGGUUAAAGUACUUCACGUUUAUUAGAAUUAUAUUAUUGAAAGUGUGACAUAAACAUUCAUCAUUUCAUCAAGUAGAGAACUUUAGAUUAGAGAGAGAGAGAGCACAUCUGUUUCGCAAAUUGGCAAACAUUUGCUUCCAGCCUUAUCAUUGAGGAAGGGACUGUGGAUCUAACCAUUCACUAGGCUAGUGACUGAAAGAUCUUUUUUAAUGUUGCAUUUUUAAAGUGUAAAAGAGAAAAUAAAGGAUGACGCUUAGCAAAAUAAAGAGACUUAGGAAAGCCUGUUUCUAGCUACGCACACUUGCUUUUUUCAGGCCCUUUCUUUUCCCCUGCUGAUUUCAAAUCACAGGAUCAGGUUUUUGAGUCCCCUCUGACCUCCUCUUCUACCCCUCAUCCCUGCUCCAUCUGAACACAGGGCCCACACAUCUCAUGCAAAGAUGUGUUCCUGAAGACCUCACAUGAUUAAAAAUUCACAAAACUCAGGUUUCAUCCUGGCAAAAGGUGACAGGUGUUUUUCUUUCCUGGUUCUCCUGGCCCUGACAUGAGACAAUUGAAUAAACAGUUUAUUUUCACUUGGCCUGCCACCUCUCAACGUAUGCUAUUCUUGAUUACAUUUUUAUUUUUUAAUUCAUUCGAGCCUUGCUGAUAAAGGGAGAUCAUUUUUCUUAUAGCACUAUGUAACAUUUCCAUUAUUGAAAUGCGCAUAAUAUGCCACCAUGUUAUGCUCAAUUUUCUUGUGCUCCUUCUAUUGAAACCUGCCCUCAAGUAAGAAGAAAGCAAAAGAGGAUGUUUAUUCUUGACUGCCAAGGAACAUAUGUAAUUGUGUUGCCCGCCCAGCAGAGUUUACAUUUUCAGUUUUAUCGGUAGAAUUUUUUUGGCCUCUAUUAAUGAGUUUGACUUUUCAUGCAGAAGUAAAGGGAUAUUUUGAGGGAUUCACCUUCUUUCCUAAUCUCAAAUUCUGCCAUUGCUGCCAGAGCUCAUUAGAGGAGCUGUAGGUUUGAUGGGCACAACACCCCUAUAGGCAGAAUACUGGUUGCCCCUUCCGUUUCAGAAGAAAAUCUGCAUGUGAAUGCUUAAUAACCUGGUAGUUUAUGUUUUUUACUGCAUCAUUAGUAUGUUAGGUAAAACUUGUAGGGCUUAAAGACUCUUCCAAAGAGGAGACUGUUUUGAUCAUUAUGAGAACUUCCAAGUAGUAAGUGAUCUGACUUCACAGUCUUAGUCAUGUUACAUCUUUAAAACUCACUUCUUGACUAAUUGACAAGAUGCAUCAUGUGGUCUCAAGAGGAGAGCUAAUAUUCAUUGAAGGAGCUCUGAUUUGCCCCUGCUGGCUAAGGUAAUCAGACCUUUCUUAGCCAAAACUUCAGCAAUUACACAUCAGCGCUUCAUUUAAAUACACUAAGAAAUAUCGAAGUUUCACAGUUUGGGAUAAAGGCUCUUGAGGAUAUUAUGCAUUGAUUGUAAUAAGUAUCAGUUAUGUUCCUGGCAGGAAAGAGAUCUCAGGAAAAUGAUAUAAUUCUAAAAUAAUAGUAAGGAUGAUGGGAGGCGGUCAACGGUAAGGAAGGGAACAAGGGGUAAGGUGUGCUCGAGUAGCAGCAGGCCACUGAAGGCACAGGGGUGGGGCCCAUUUCUGAAGCCUGGAUGGGGAAACUGUGUGCAAAGACUGCCUGACAGAUGUGGCCAUUCAUACAGAGACACAGCCAACCCAUGGAGACCUGACAGGAAGGGAGCUCUGGGAAAAAAAAAGAAAGAAGAAAGGAAAGGAA
Molecule: long non-coding RNA, 5906 nt
Filed under: Sus scrofa (pig)
Lineage: Eukaryota; Metazoa; Chordata; Mammalia; Artiodactyla; Suidae
Description: lncRNA (ENSSSCG00065001855.1)
Source: RNAcentral